This 301-nucleotide ribosomal RNA is filed under the name uncultured bacterium. RNAcentral's name for it is "partial 16S ribosomal RNA". It matches the Rfam family "Bacterial small subunit ribosomal RNA", at positions 509 to 807 of the family's 1533-position model. The record is from RNAcentral.
CAGUCGCCGCGGUAAUACGUAGGGUGCAAGCGUUAUCCGGAAUUAUUGGGCGUAAAGAGCUCGUAGGCGGUUUGUCGCGUCUGCUGUGAAAACUGGAGGCUCAACCUCCAGCCUGUAGUGGGUACGGGCAGACUAGAGUGCGGUAGGGGAGAUUGGAAUUCCUGGUGUAGCGGUGGAAUGCGCAGAUAUCAGGAGGAACACCGAUGGCGAAGGCAGAUCUCUGGGCCGUAACUGACGCUGAGGAGCGAAAGCAUGGGGAGCGAACAGGAUUAGAUACCCCCGUAGUCCCUGUCUCUUAUAC